RNAcentral lists this long non-coding RNA (8025 nucleotides) under Marmota monax (woodchuck). The record is from RNAcentral. Lineage: Eukaryota; Metazoa; Chordata; Mammalia; Rodentia; Sciuridae.
GUUAAAAUAACAGAUUUGUGUCCCUUCCUGUAGGUUCUGGUGGGAGGAGGGAGACGCGGACGGAUGGGAGGCGCCUUGGGUAGGAGGAGGACGGAGAGAAAGGGUCUCCAACAGCGGACCUUUGUCCCCUAAUGCAAAUGAGCUUGUCCCAAACAGGGCGCAGACAAUGCGAGUCUGGUCCUUGCUGCGCGCGGAGCCCCCUGACAGCGAGGUUGUUAACCGACGACGACGUUUCUUGCAUUCUUUCUCUCACACCCAAGACAGAGGCUGACAGCUGAGAAUUUUAAACAACCAUUCUGGGUAUGUUUUCCUUAUUUUGUGUAUUCACAUUGCUUCUCCGUAUGGGAGUGGGGGUUGGAAGCCUAGUGCCUUCAUUUAGAUAUUUUAGAUCCUUCAUUUAGAGAUUUCCUGUGUUUGAAAAAGUCUUCUGUUCUGAUUGCUAAACAAAGUAGACAUUAGAGGUGCUCAGCCACAGCAUUUGGAAUGAUUAGCGAGCACAGAAAUCAGUUUUGUAUUGUUUUUUCUUUUUUUUUGGGGGGGGGGGGUACUGGGAAUUGAACUCAGGGGCCCUUGACCACUGAGCCCCAUCCCAGCCCUAUUUUGUAUUUUAUUUAGAUACCGGGUCUCACUGAGUUGCUGAGUGCCUCGCUUUUGCUGAGGCUGGCUUUGAACUCGCAAUCCUCCUGCCUCAGCCUCCUGAGCCUCUGGGAUGACAAGUGUGCACCACGGAGCAAAGUGGACAGGACAGAGGUCUUGGGCUGACAUGUCUCAGACUCUCGGGGUGCCCUAGGAAAUGAGCCUGCCUUUGCUACUCUGUAAAGUGGGUCUGUCACAACGUUUUCCAAAGGCUGCAAAUCAAGAACUCCUACAUCCAGGCCAUUGACCCAGUUUUAUGUCCUUCCAGCUGCAGCCACAUAGGACUGACAGCCAUUCUUUCUUCUGAGAUAGCCAUCAAAGGCAUGGAUGUUUUUAAGCAUGAAGAAAAAAACCAAAAGCCCUCCGACUGAGGGCUACAUGGAUUGCUAAGACACCAGAUUGGAUGCAUGAUUUUUUAAUUUGCUUAUUUACUUAUUUAUACCUUCUCCUGUUUGAUAUAAGGCAGUUCACAACCCAAAACACAAAAGACAGAGAUAAAAACUCUGGACAGGCAAAAAAGAAGGUUGUAAAUGGGACUCUCCUGAGCUCAUCCUGCCUGCUACCGGAGAGCAGCAAGUGGGGAAGGGCCUGGUGACCAGGACAAACUUCACUCCCCUGGAACAUGCAGUUCUUCCAGGGGCAAAGAGUUUUCCAAAUACUUCGUUCACAGGUCCAUUUUACACUCAAGAAUCUUCAUAAGGGAGCAAUGAGAACAGAAGUUCAAUGUCAACUUUGAGGGCGAAUACAGUUGCAGAAUUCCCAGGGCAGUGGCCAAAAGGCAAGAGAAAUAAGCACUUUGUUGAGUGUUCAUUCCAGUUACCUGGGAUGCACAGAGUCCCGCCGAGCAGGAUUCAAAGCCACGUUCAGGCUGAGCUGAAGACAGGCAGCUCGAAGUGGAGAUCACAGGUGUGUGUAACUCCUGAACUUGGCCUAGAUAAACAUGUCAAAUGAGUGGGUUUCUGGUGUCCAGUUUGAUCCACAGAGAGAACUCUUGAAGUGGACGGCAGGCAGGAUCCUCAGAUGUUUGUUGGAAAAUAGCACUUUUCUCCCUGGGGACUUUGAGAGGAGCCUGGAGGCUGAUUGGAGUUUCUCCCAAUGCUUUGGUUACCCAGGAAGCAGAUGGGGGUUGAUCGCCUUGCACUAUAGAACUGGAUUCAAGGCCCUGCCACCUCCAUACAGGGACAGGGGCCAGGCACUUCCAGAAAUUGUGAAACAGUUAUCCCCACAGGAGAGCCUUUCCAGAACUUGCACUUUCUCUUACUUUCCUGUAUUGUUAGAACUUAUAACACAUGCUAAGUUUGUAAUCAGAAAAGAAUAUAGGUACAUAUAGUACAUUUCUGUGCUGAUUUAUUUAAUGCACACAUGCCUUGUUUAACUUGGAAUCCAUUAUUAAUCAGUUGACUAUUAACUGUGGUUCAAUAGGCCACCUGGAUUAACAGUGUUGUUGGACAGCCCUAAAAAUAGCCAGAUGUGGAACAGCUGCUGAAGGUGAUACUUUCAAAAAGCAAAAUAAAUAAAUAAAAGAACACAGAUUAUUUAAGCUUCUGUUUUUUUCCUUUCUUUUCCUUUUCUUCUUUUGCCACAAGUUAUGUCAACACUCUGCAAAGGGCCAACCUUAGAGCAGGGUAAUGAGAAUCGGAAUCACAGGAACCCAUCCGUCUAACUGAACUUCAAAGAUCUAAAAUGGAUUUGCUUGGCCCACCCUUGGAACGGAGCUGAUUUUAAAAAGAUGCGUUUGGAGAGUCUAGGAUGGCCACAGAUGCUUCACGUCGUCUCCUGAGGAUGCAGCCUGGGGAUCUGGGAUCUCCACUUCUACAGUCAAGGCCACCAUAACACCCUGGCAGCUCCCUCACCAUCCAGAAAACAAGUUUUGUUUUUUUUUCUUUUCUUUUGAAAGCAUUCACUUUACUAAUGAUAACACAAGAAGUGAGAAUCCAAGAACAAAAGUCAUAUUCACAAAUGGAAUGCGCUGUGUGGAAGACAGGAAGCUCAGGUAACUUGGCAGGAUCCACAGACGGGGCCUUGCCCAUCCAGGCCUCUCCUCCUCUUUCAAUUCCGAUUCUGCUGCUCUGGAAGUGUCCAUUUCAGACGACUUUGCAACAAGAGUGAAGUUUCAAAGCCGUUUUCUGGUUAGCCUUCAAUUAACCAGAAAAUCAGAUUAAUUGUGCAUGAAUUCCUGUGUCCAGGACCGGUGUGACCCAUGGAACAGACCGAUCUGGGUAAAAGUCAGUCAUGUUGAAGCCGAGGUCUCUCACAUUUGGGGCUCCUCAGGAACAAGGGGGCCAUUCAAUCAAUCCACCUGACAUGCUGUCGCAGGCCUGUGCCUUCUGCAGGCUCUGAGCUCAAAACCAUUCUGAAAGAGGCUGUCGAUGGAGGAGAGGGAACAGCUGCUCUGUGGCAAUUAACCAGCAGUUUCUGUUGCUGAAGGAGAUUAUUUUGGAUGGCGUAAAGAGAUUCAAAUAAAAAUGUCAACGUGCCCAUUACGGAUGAAAGUUAGAAAAACUUAAGUGGCCCUGAAUUAAUCACUACUUGACAGGAAGGCGCAUAAACGAGUCCUAAAAAAACAUCCCCCCACGAAUCUCUUUUCCUGCCUUUUGGGUAAUUGUCAAGAAGCUGGUUGGGGGGUGGGGAGGGCAUUUCUUGGCUGCAACCUUAAUUCAUCUUGGAGUGAAGAUUUAAUGACAAAGUUACAAGCCCUUAAAGUAGCAUUUAUUGAGGGGCUAAUGAGAGUUCCUAAGAACCCAGGGAAAAAGAAGAACAGGCACUACACAAGAGGCCUUUGAAAAUACCGAGGGGAGAGGAGUUCAUUAGUCUUUUUUUUUUUUUUUCCUUCUUCCCCUUUCUCAACAAUGAACGUUGCUGCUGCCAAACCUUCAGGAAUAGGGCUGGUUUCCUUUCAAGUCAUUGAUGCGGGCUUCGCCUGUGCAUCGGGUCCGACAACCCUGCAACAAGAGGCAGGAAAUCUCACCCUCAAAGGGAGACUGCACAUUGCUUCCUCCCCGGGCCGGGCUGGCCCCUCACAGAAGUGGGAUUUCUGCUGUCCUUGCCAGAACGCCUCCGAUUUCCAUGCCCUCCCACGGCUAAGAUAACCCACAGGACCCUGGCCUCCGAGAACCGCGCAGAUUUCCAACUCCAGCCACGCAGCAACAAAACCGGCGGCUGUCACCCGACGUGGAGCAAAUGAGCCCCUGUCCUGCGGCGUAAAGGCGAAGAGAGUUAUUGAAGGUCCCCUGCGGAGAAGGCCCCAUUUGCCCUUGGCCUCUCUUGGCAGGUCCCCUCUGGAAUCUUCUGGGCCCUCUGGACUCGGCUUGGCUCCUCCUUCUGUCUAGGAGCACAGGAAGGAAUAGCUGGGGCCAGUCUGUUCCAAACAGAUCAAGUUUUCUUAAGUCAGGAUUUUUUUUUUUCUUAAGGGAAAGCAGAAAUGGAAAGAUGGAGUGAAGAAGACAGACGGACGGACAGCAGCGAAGUGGUGUGACUUCCAUCGGUCCCUAACCCAGUGCUCCUCCAUGGCCCUGCAUACCCCUGACGGGUUAGAAGGAGUGGAGAAGAGAUUGAGGGAAGUAAAGACUGCUGGUGGCUCAAGAUGGAGAGAAAUGUCAUGGUCCCCAAGGAGCCGCGACACGAUCUAUAAUGUACAAUUUAACUGAGGUGCAGAAAACGUGUAUUUAGAGAAUACCCUCACUGUUUCUGCGCCUUGUCAAAAAGGUACUUUUUCUCUCAGGAUAGAAAAGAAAGGAUUGGUAGUAAAAUGUCUCCAUUGGGAAAAUAAAUAUAUCAAGAGCUGUUUUCCACAGCUGCGUGAAUCUAGGAUCUGGGAGGUGGGUUCUGUUUGUGCACCCCCCCCCCCCCCCCCCGCCCGAGGUGUAUGCCCCCUGGCGCAGGAGCCCUGGUCCAAGAGCCCCACGGCCCGAUUCUGGAAGAACUGUCUGAGCGACAUCACCUGGGGAGGACCCAGGCUCAGCCAGUCCUCGGUGGGCGUACUUCUUAGAAUGUCUUUUUAAACUCAGUCACCUCCUGAAGGCUGCACAUCAGACGUUUCCCCUUCUAAGGUUGACAAAACUCAACUGGCAUCGUUUAAACAGAGUUUUUGUGCGGCUCGUGAGGAGUCUUCAGUUCCAAGGGGGAAGCUGGAAUGGAGGCUGUCAGCUCAAGUCACAAGGGAGGAAGACGCACAUUGAUCUCGUGUGGCUUUGGGAUUUGUGCUGUUGGAACUGAGAACUCUGAGGGGGACAAACAGUAAGAGCAGUCUUUACGGGAAUCAUACAGAAUGUAUGAACAUCUUAGCAGCUUUUGCUCGUGUGCCCAACAAGGGGCUAAUUCUUUGCACGCAUUUUCCUGGUUACACCAGGCAGUAUUGUUUCAAGACAGGAAUUAUGGUCUGCACUGUAAAGAUGAGCGCCCGAGGGCUCAGAGGGGUCGAUGAACAUGCCAUGCUCACACAGCUGGUAAGAGGACCAGGCAGAAUUCAAAGCGGGACUGCCCUGGGUCCAAAACUUUGUCCUUAGUCACUGUGCGAGACUUUCCCUCACUCUGACCCUACAUCCCUAUCUGACCAGCUUGGAUAACACCCUUUCUUUUUUGAAAUUAACUCUGGUCUGUCCAACACAUAUCUCUGCUCUACAAGGAAGGGAGUGUAACCAGGGAUUGCUGGUGCAUGGGUCAGAGCCAGGGCUCUGUCAUUUGGCACUUAGGGACCUUGUGCCAACUUCCCAGUAUGUGUCUUCACCCACAAGAUGGGAAUAUUAAAUAUCUCUAUGUAAUGUGAUUGUUGUAAAAUAAAAUGGCACAAUAUAUUUAACUGUAGCAUAGUUUUAGCACAUAGUAAUCAGUGGAAAUAAGGAAGGGAGGAUCAGAGAAAGAGGGAAAGGAAAAGAGAAAGAAAAGGAGAAAACCAAAAGAAGGGCCCCUUGAACAAACCCAGAGAGCUGUUCCUACAGAGGAUGCAGGAGCAUCAGGGAGAGCACACCAAGGCCUCCAAAAGCCCAGGGCAGGACCAGGGUCUCUUAGUGGCACUACUCCAAGUUGUUGACCCCGUCCUCAGACAGGCUGUCCCUGCAGGCUACCGAAGUGAUGCCCCAGCUUCUGACCUUCAAGUCUGCAGAAGUGGCGCCCUCUGUCCAGGUUGCCUGUCUGCCAGGUCACAUGCCCGUUCCUGAGCCAAUCACCAAGGCCAAGGGAAUGCCAGGUGCGGAUUGGCUCAUAUGCUUUGCUUUGUCCCUGGUUCAGGAAUGGAGUCUGCUGUCCCAGAAGCCCAUAGAUGGACAACAGAGGAGUACAUGAGACCCCAGAGGGAAAAUGGGGUGCAGUUGCCAGGAAAAAUUCGAACCUAGGAAUGUCAGGCUGAUGUCAAGCAAACAGAAUAUACAACCUUUUCUGGGCCCCUCUGGUUUCUGUUUGGUGGGUGUGGCCAAGGAGUAGUUCUCCAGGGCUGAUUUCUUGGGAGCUAACACCAGCACCAUGUUUACUAGCUGGGGCACCCUCCUUGGGUGAACCCCCUCUCUGCUUCCGUUUCUUCUCACGGAUUGCUACGUAUUUCAUGUGCACAUGUAAAGCACUUAGCAUGACAGCAGCACCUACUAAGCUCCACAGAUUUUAACCAUUCAACAUCCUGCAUUCAACACACGUUUGUUGAGUACCUACUAUGUGCCAAGACGGUGUGGGUUAGGUACUUGGGGUACAUCCGUGAACCACAAAAAUCACAAAAUCCCUUGACCCGGUGGAGUUGACACUCUAGUUCAGAAAGACAGAUAAACACUAAACAAAAUAACAAGAACAUCAUAUGGUAUGUGUAAACUGUGGGAAAAAGAAAGUAGGUGAAUAUAAAGGGGAUGGGAAGAGUUUCAGUAGAAAGGGAACGAGGUAGUCAAAAUGGCGGCACUUAAGCACAGAGUGGUUGAGUGACCAGGUCAGCAGGCUGUGGGUGCGCCAAGCAGAGGAGGCAGGCAGUACAGAGACGGUAGGUCCUGCUGUGUCUGAAGAACUGCAGGGGACACGCGAGGCUGGGGCCAAUAAAUAGGGAAGGCAAGCUGCCUGGACUGGCCUGGGGGUCAGCUAUGCCCAAGAUGGCCCUUUGGCACAUCCUCUCUUCCAGGGCUUCCAAAGUGACAAGAGCAAGCGAUUCGCAGAUUCUUGGUGUUUUAGCCACAUGUUGUGAAUGACUCCACCAAAGAGGCCUCCUCCAUUCAAGCAAAACAUCUGUCAGGAGCGCUCGGGGAAAGCUUGGGUUUCUGAAUCAGCAACCCAGGGAGAGCUUGCUGAAGACUCGGAUGACUUCUGAUUUCAGCCCGAUAAUUCCCUUCUGACACGGGAGCCCGCCGUGUUGGCACUCGGCUUGCCGAGCAUAUUUUAUGUCAUUGGAAAUCAUAAGAACUGGCAGGUGGGGCCUAAAUGAUGAGUCUAAGGCAGGAGAUUAAUGGCUCCGACGGUGAUUCUCAGGGGUGGAUGGAGUCCUGGGGGGGAUGGGGCGAGGUGGAAGGCAGAUUAUAUGGCAGGUGCUUCGAGAGCUUUAUGCCAUCUCUCAGUACCUCUCCUCUGUCCUUGGUAAGGUUUGGGCUUUCUUUGCAGAGAUCAGGAGAGAAGCUUUCCUUGAUUGAACACUCACAGAGGAGGGUGGCCCAGAGAGACCGGAAUCUGAGUUAGAUUUGCACCUGGUCAGUGCACUACAUGUUUGGGAUAGGAGAUCCCUGGAGCCAUUCAAAGAAGAAAGAUGGCUUUUUAAAUGCUCAGUGUCCCGGGUCUCUUGGAGGCCACUCCACCAUUAAGCCAAUCUGCAAAUUGUCUAAAGCCAUUUGGGAUCCAUUGAAACUUGCAACUAAUAUCUCUUAAGGUUAAUAAAUUUCCUGUGUUUUCCGACCUUUUGCUAUAUGUUUAAAAAAGAAAAGUUCUUUUUUUUUUUCCUACAGAAGUCUACCAUUUAUACUGGAACAUGCGGGAACCGCAUUGUACAGUGAGAUGGAUUUUCUCAAAGUGAACACCCUGGUGUUUUUUUGCUACAGGCAAAAGGCCCAUUACAGAACCUCAGACAUCCUCCAGGGGACACUCCUCUUCAAAAGUCUAAGACUGCAGAGUGGGCUGGGCUGAUUUUAUUUUUCAACUUCAUAAAAAUGAAUUUCUGCAGCAUGUAUUUUAUAUGUGACCUCUUUCCCUCACUACUAUGUGAAAUUAAUCCGUAUCGGCGUGGAGCAGUCGUUCAUUUCUUUGGCGAGGUUCCAUUUUAGGAAUAUACAAAUCCUACAAUAAAUUAACUGAUGGAUUUUCUCCAUCAUGUCUGACUUCUGGCUAUUAUAAAUAAAGCAGCGACACAUAUUUUUUUUGGUGGACAUCAUUGCCUUUUCUUGGAGAUAUUCCUAGGAUGGAGAUGGCUGGGUUCUCAGGGGAUGCGUAUGUCUG